UGAGCACACUUUAAGUGUUUAACAUGUGUAAUAAUGGUUUUUAUGGAAGUAAAUUCUAAUUUGAUCUCUUAAUUUUUCAGAUCGGGUAAUUGAGGUCAAAUACACUCAGUAACAUUGCUCCCAAAUGUCAGAGUGAAGACUCUCUCUCAUUAUCAAUGAUGCUUAAGUUGGAGGUCUUCAGCCUCCAUUUAACUUCCUAUCUUAUGCACCGAGCAUUGCAACAUUAUGUCAGAUGAGGAAACAUUCCAUCAAGUAACCGGGAAUAUUGCUGUGAAGAGGGCUGUCUUUUUGUAAGAGGGGUGAGUUUUAAUUCAUUUAAGCUGUAGAACAAGUCAUAAAUUGUAAUGCAUUGCUUAAUUGUCUUAUUUAUAAAGAAAACCCAUUAAUAAUAUAACUGUAUUAUUCCAAAUCAAACAUUUUAUGUCUAUGUAUCUGUUUAUUAUUAUCUAUUCUAGGCCUUGUACAUAGUUUCUUCUCCACAUCCUCUAACGAUUUUAUUAUUAAUAUUAAUAUCACA
This 517-nucleotide long non-coding RNA is filed under the name Ictidomys tridecemlineatus (thirteen-lined ground squirrel). RNAcentral's name for it is "lncRNA (ENSSTOG00000032704.1)". The record is from RNAcentral. Lineage: Eukaryota; Metazoa; Chordata; Mammalia; Rodentia; Sciuridae.